AACACUCUCCCUCCCCUAGUCGUCCGGCCAGGGUCCGGGCAUCAGCCGGUCAUCGGCCACCACGCCGGCCGCCGAUCUCUGGCAACGGCACUAUCGUUUGCGGUGGCCAAAAAAGGGGAAAAUCCCCUACUUGGCCUUUUCGACCCCUCUAAGCUCGAAUCCGAGUUCAAAAUCCCCAAAAUAGCAACACAAACCACAAAGAAGUCAAGAAACCUUUCGGUUUUCAACCACCGAUCCUCAGGGGUGGCUCCCUCGAUUGUCCCGGUGACGUUAUAGAAUCGAGCGAAGGUAAGUCUAUUUCUUUUUCCCUUUUUAUUUUAUUUUCGCAUGUAAAAAAAAUAAAAAUAAAAAUAAAAAAGCGAAAGAAAAAUAUUGAAACAAAGCAAGAAAAUAGAUGUUAACCUCCGAUAUUUGAUGUUUUUGAUCUCGUUGUAUUCUCUGCUCUUUUUGUUAUGAAAUAUUCGUUUUUAUUAUUAUUGAUUUCUCGAUCCCUUUUACAGUAUUUCAAUGGCUUUUUUAUAGCCAUAAUAAUACAAUAUAAAGAAGAAACAAAUCUGUUUUUAUUUGAUUUACAAAUCUUUGAUUUUCUUUCCAUUUUUGAUGUUUAUUUCUUGCAGGUGAGGGCAUGGAGAUUCAGCUUCGUGCGGGGCUUGGCUGCGGCGCUGUUGAUCUUUAGAAACCCUAGGGUUUCUGCAACUGUUUUGGGCCACUGAAUUUCGGGCCUCUUGUUUUAUUUCGAUUUGGGCCAUAUAGGCCCAUUGUAAUUUGGGCCUUUUAGACACGGGCCAAAAUAGUGUAUUACAAUAUUUAUAAUAAAU
RNAcentral lists this long non-coding RNA (818 nucleotides) under Gossypium barbadense (sea-island cotton). RNAcentral's name for it is "long non-coding RNA (GBAR_LNC022210)". Lineage: Eukaryota; Viridiplantae; Streptophyta; Magnoliopsida; Malvales; Malvaceae. The record is from RNAcentral.